UUAUGGCCAUAUCACAUUGAAACACAGGUUCCCAUAUAAUCACCAAAAUUAAGCAACAUCAAGCCUGAUCAGUACCUAGAUGGGUGAUCACUUAGGAAUACCAGCUGC
Non-coding RNA from Acanthosepion pharaonis, 108 nucleotides. NCBI's taxonomy places the organism in Eukaryota, Metazoa, Mollusca, Cephalopoda, Sepiida, Sepiidae. The record is from the annotation of a GenBank genome assembly.